AAUGGGCACAGCUAUAAUCGUUGCAAGAAACUCAUGCUGACGGUAGCUUUCUGCUAAGAAAUGAGCGAAAAGCAAAACGAAAAAGUUUGUUAGAAGUUAAUCUGCUUCUAGUUAUUUUGUUUUAAUUUAUUAUUCAUUUAAUUAAUUUGUUAUUUAUUCAUCAUCCAUUGGAUAGUCUUCAUGUCAUCAUCAUCGACAAAUAGGCUAUUAGCUACAUUAGUUGCGGAUAUUUUGGGGAGAAUAUCGAAAUUUAACAGACGAAUAUUUUUAGACUCAAAAUAUGAUUUCUCGCUUUCUCCCUCUUUCUUUCUUUCUUUCUUUCUUUUUAGCAUACAUAAAUAUUUGCUCGUCAAUAAGCUUUAUAGAAAAGGAGGGCAUGCAGGUGUAUUUUUGACAAGCAUCAAGUGAACAUAGUUAACUGUUAAGUUUUUUUUUUUUUUUUUUUGUAACAUGGCAUUUAAGGUGAUUUUUUUUAAAUUAAACUAUGCGCGUUAAUACUACUAGGAUAUUAAUGUAUUCUUUAAAGCGAUUAUCACAGUGUAAAAUAAUAAUAAUAAUAAAUUACAAAUCCGUGCAAUAAGCAUAUAACUGCAUGAUCUUGAGCACGCAUCGCGUGUAACCCGCGUAUUGGUCAGAAGUGGAUUCGACAAUGUUUCCUGGCUUUAUUAAGGGGUCUGUCUUAAGUAAGAAAGCGUAAAGUAGUCUAGUAUAAACGACUUUCCCUCGUGUUUUUACAGUUAACUGCACAUAGGCUACUGGAUAUAAUUUGCAACAAGAGCGACAGUUAGCCUAGUCAUUACUAAUAAAUGAGAGAUAAUUGAGGGUAACAAAAAUAAAACGGACUAACAAAGAAAUCUACCGUAUAGCCAAUAUGUGGAUCUAUGUUUUCAAAACUGUUGCUAUUAUAGUGCGUGUAGUAGCCUAUACUACAUUUUAUUUCCCCAAAACAGAAAUGUGUGUAGUCUGUCUAACGUGUCUACAAAAAUAAAAAAGGGACACAAGGCUCCUGUAUAAUUUAAAGAUUAGUAUUUGGCCUAUUUAUCUAUCAAUAUUUGAUUACAAUUUAAACUCGUUGUAUCAAUCAGUCUGCUUAUAAAAAUAUGACGACAGUCGUAGAUUUAUAUUAAUGGAAGCUUUGAGAGAAAAAAAUUAAUACAUAAUCAAAUAGAAUUAACAUGAUAAAUUACAUUAAGACAGUAUGAAUGGUAGCCUAUGUUCACGUGGAGUUAUCGCUCGUGUCUCCUGAUAAAUUAUUUGUUUCUGCUGGAGAGCGCCACAAAGCAUUUCACCGCCAGAUGUCGCCACGUGUUUCGGAGACGCAUCACGGUGACUCAAAUUUCCUUUUCUCACUUCAAAUGAAUUUCUAGAGAACGAAUGGCUGAGGCAAUAUUUCGAAAUGGCUUGAAAUACCAUUUAGAAUACAGUUUAUUGUUGUAUUUGCUGUCUUACACGUUUAGAUGAAUUGGCCACAAGGUAUGUGUCCAACACGAAAAAAAAAGCCAAGCAGUUGAAAAGGGGGAGGGAAAAACUAAAGUUUAUUAACACUAUAAAACAUUUGUAAAUGCCCACCGUUUCAUGUAAAUUCCCCGUUAAUCGAAGAAUGUGCACUGCAUUAUUCGGCACAGCUGAACAAUAGAAAGAAAACAUGAAUGUCUUUGUAUUGAAUCACCUUGAAAUGAGCCUUCCUCCUCUCUCUUAUUCCCUCUCCACCCUCUCUGUCAUACGUCUAACUCACUUAAACAAAAAGUCUCUCCAUAUAUUUUAGGACCUAUUUUAUAUAUAUCCUAUCUAUCAAUGAUUAUGAAAGAACCAAGAGAGAUAUAAUUGAGAGGAGAAACAGAAAUAAGCCAUAGCCUAUGCUCGUUUAGACGCUUUAGACGUUCGGUUUUCUCGUUCUCAUAAUCUACACGCGUAAUUAAAGAGGCUGGAAUACAGAUGACCAUUAAGACAACGCAGCAGAUCACACAUGUGCUACACAACUUCGGACCGUGAAGUCGUCAAGACGAGGACAUGAAGAGUCCAAGGCUGAAAAAAAAAAGUAAACAUAACUUGUGAAGUGAGCAGGAGGAAACUGGCUUCAGUGGCUAUCAAAUGAUAAACCAACAGAAGUGAUGCCCACGAGGACGUGCGGUGCUCUUUGAUGUGAGAAAGGAAGGUUGAGAGCACUCUCUCCAGCACAUGCCACCCUCAUUAGUGUCCAGCAGCUGAAGACGCGAGGUCACAAACCCAAUGAGUUGCCCAUUUCAUUCAGCUUUGCCGACAGGGAAGGAUGACCACUAUGACCAAAUGUUGCGCUGUGGUCUGACAGCACAUUGUGUUCAACAAACAAAGUGGCUUGAAUAACCCUUGAACUUUGUGUGGAGUGCAUUAUUUUUUCAACAUUUUCAACUUUUCAACAUUCUUGUAGAUGUUAUCCAUUCAAUAAACUGUGAAUUUUUCUAAAAAAGGGAA
Molecule: long non-coding RNA, 2451 nt
Organism: Carassius auratus (goldfish)
Lineage: Eukaryota; Metazoa; Chordata; Actinopteri; Cypriniformes; Cyprinidae
Exons: 5
Source: RefSeq, a predicted model, not a curated record